UGGGCAACCUGCCCUCAGCUCUGGGAUAACUCCAAGAAAUUGGGGCUAAUACCGGAUAUGACCGCUGACCGCAUGGUCUGGUGGUGGAAAGAUUUAUCGGCUGGGGAUGGGCCCGCGGCCUAUCAGCUUGUUGGUGGGGUAGUGGCCUACCAAGGCGACGACGGGUAGCCCGCUGAGAGGGUGACCGGCCACACUGGGACUGAGACACGGCCCAGACCUCCGUACGGGAG
RNAcentral lists this ribosomal RNA (230 nucleotides) under uncultured bacterium. RNAcentral describes it as "partial 16S ribosomal RNA". It matches the Rfam family "Bacterial small subunit ribosomal RNA", at positions 118 to 347 of the family's 1533-position model. The record is from RNAcentral.